GACGAACGCUGGCGGCGUGCUUAACACAUGCAAGUCGAACGGAAAGGCCCUGCUUUUGUGGGGUGCUCGAGUGGCGAACGGGUGAGUAACAAGUGAGUAACCUGCCCUUGACUUUGGGAUAACUUCAGGAAACUGGGGCUAAUACCGGAUAGGAGCUCCUGCUGCAUGGUGGGGGUUGGAAAGUUUCGGCGGUUGGGGAUGGACUCGCGGCUUAUCAGCUUGUUGGUGGGGUAGUGGCUUACCAAGGCUUUGACGGGUAGCCGGCCUGAGAGGGUGACCGGCCACAUUGGGACUGAGAUACGGCCCAGACUCCUACGGGAGGCAGCAGUGGGGAAUAUUGCACAAUGGGCGGAAGCCUGAGGCAGCAACGCCGCGUGCGGGAUGACGGCCUUCGGGUUGUAAACCGCUUUCGCCUGUGACGAAGCGUGAGUGACGGUAAUGGGUAAAGAAGCACCGGCUAACUACGUG
This 468-nucleotide ribosomal RNA is filed under the name uncultured bacterium. RNAcentral's name for it is "partial 16S ribosomal RNA". It matches the Rfam family "Bacterial small subunit ribosomal RNA", at positions 28 to 507 of the family's 1533-position model. The record is from RNAcentral.